AUAAAGAAAAGUAACGGUGUC
RNAcentral lists this non-coding RNA (21 nucleotides) under Rattus norvegicus (Norway rat). The record is from RNAcentral. Lineage: Eukaryota; Metazoa; Chordata; Mammalia; Rodentia; Muridae.